AAAUUCUCUCACUCCACCAUUUUUUGAGUGGACCACUUUUUCAUUUUUGAGUGAAUACACCUAUACUUUUUUGAGUUCAAAUUUUCUUUGAUAUUUUGCAUCGGAUCAAUUUUUGUGUUCAAAUUAUUAGGCUGACAUGUGACUGAAUUUACGUAAUAUAAUUUAAAUCAUGCACUGUUUUUUUUUUGUACAAUAAAUUAAUUUGUACUGUUUUUUUUGCACAGGGACUUAGACCAUUACUGCCUAGAUCAUGCACAUCUAAGAGGGACCCCAAUUUGGUGAGAUUAUUAUAUUUUGUUUAAAUCAUUUUCCUUUAUACAGUAAGUACUACACAAUGAUAAUCACAUUUUAAUGAAAUUAAUUUUUAGUGUCUCUUCGCUGAGUAUUUGGUUGAAGAUGUUGCCACUCCACUCUUUAUACUUGAAGCAGCUUUUGAUUCAUACCAGAUUAAAUCCAACUUCAUAUUAACUGUUCCUGGUUUGGAUCGAAUGCAAUGGGAAAAUUGUUCAAAAAGCCUGGAACAGUGCAAUGCUACAGAAAUAGGAAUCAUAAAGGAUUUUGGACCUAUUUUCAAGAAGACAUUAAUGAAGCUCGGUAACUCUUCGAGCAGAGGGGUAUUUUUGGAUUCGCGCUAUCUUCAUUUUCAUUUCUAUUCAACAUAUAAUUGGAUAUCCACACCAGUACUUCACAACAAAACCAUACAAAAAGCUAUUGGUGAUUGGUUCUAUGAUCGAAGUACAUUUCAAGAGAUAGAUAAUCCUUUAUAUCCACAAAAUUGUUAUCGUAAAUAGUUGGCUGGUCUUAUUAUUUAUUACAAUAUUAUGUGUAUGGUUUAAAGUAUUAUUUUAGUGUGUGUUAGUUGUAACGAUUCAAAUCAUUUUGUCUUGACUACUAGCACAAUUAAAUGCAUAUUUAAUUUUUCAACAUUAGUAACAGAUAAAAAUUUAUGUUCCAA
Molecule: long non-coding RNA, 955 nt
Organism: Salvia splendens (bonfire salvia)
Lineage: Eukaryota; Viridiplantae; Streptophyta; Magnoliopsida; Lamiales; Lamiaceae
Exons: 4
Source: RefSeq, a predicted model, not a curated record